Molecule: long non-coding RNA, 337 nt
Organism: Podarcis raffonei (Aeolian wall lizard)
Lineage: Eukaryota; Metazoa; Chordata; Lepidosauria; Squamata; Lacertidae
Exons: 3
Source: RefSeq, a predicted model, not a curated record
CAUUCUAUGUAGGCACAAGGAAGUCCUGCUGAAUUCAGUGGGACUUGCUCCCAGGUGAACACAUUGCCUUUUGUGCUCAUCUAUUCACACACAACUAGCCACCUGGGGAAUUGCUACCUAAAGAAAUUCAACCUUUCUAUAGCAACAGGUGGUGAGGAGCACAAAUGGGAACAGGAGCCAGCAGAUAAGUCCUCCUCCCCACACCAAAUGCAUGUCGAAGAUAAAUGGGUGCCACUGGCUUACACUUCUGAAAUGAACAAGUUUUCUGCCUCUCUUCUUUUUAUUAUGGGUCUUUUGCAGCUGGCCUAAUCAGUUUGGAGCUGAGAACCUCUGUUCC